Molecule: non-coding RNA, 72 nt
Organism: Phrynosoma platyrhinos (Desert horned lizard)
Lineage: Eukaryota; Metazoa; Chordata; Lepidosauria; Squamata; Phrynosomatidae
Source: the annotation of a GenBank genome assembly
ACCUGUGUGGUGUAGUGGUUUGAGCAUCAGACUAGGAUUCUGGAGAUCGACGUUCAAUUCCCCACUCAUCUA